CCAAACUUGGUCAUUUAGAGGAAGUAAAAGUCGUAACAAGGUUUCCGUAGGUGAACCUGCGGAAGGAUCAUUAUCGUAGGGGGUAACCCCCCCUUUGAGAUGCCACCCUUGCUUUAUACCCAAAAGUAUCCCACUCGGCGGGCCUGCCCGCCGGCGGAGUAAACCAAACCUUUCACUGUAAUAGUAGUACCUCUGAUAGACAAACAAAAAGUCAAAACUUUCAACAACGGAUCUCUUGGUUCUGGCAUCGAUGAAGAACGCAGC
Molecule: unclassified non-coding RNA, 264 nt
Filed under: uncultured fungus
Lineage: Eukaryota; Fungi
Description: partial contains small subunit ribosomal RNA, internal transcribed spacer 1, and 5.8S ribosomal RNA
Rfam family: Eukaryotic small subunit ribosomal RNA (bases 1-73)
Source: RNAcentral